Molecule: long non-coding RNA, 318 nt
Filed under: Manihot esculenta (cassava)
Lineage: Eukaryota; Viridiplantae; Streptophyta; Magnoliopsida; Malpighiales; Euphorbiaceae
Description: long non-coding RNA (MESC_LNC006996)
Source: RNAcentral
GCUGGCAGAGGCGUGGUUAUGGCAAUGGUGGCCAGCACGGAGAGGUAAGGUACUUAUUCUUCGUAUGAGGGUGAGAAUGCAAAAGACUGCUGAACAUUAGUGAUAGCAGAGGAGCCAACGAUAGCGACGAAAGUAAUGGGAUGAAGAGUAUGCUUUCUUUGGAUUGUUUUAGUGAUUUUGCUUCUUAUGGUUGGUUGUAGCUUAAUUUGCUAUAUGUGUAUCAUUUCCUUAAACCGGCUGGGGGACGUGGACACCGCCGCGAGAGGCCAUAAUAGCAGGAGGACAUAUGAUGGUGGUCGUGUACUUAUUAACGGUAAG